Molecule: ribosomal RNA, 719 nt
Filed under: Salmonella enterica subsp. enterica serovar Infantis
Lineage: Bacteria; Pseudomonadati; Pseudomonadota; Gammaproteobacteria; Enterobacterales; Enterobacteriaceae
Description: bacterial SSU rRNA
Rfam family: Bacterial small subunit ribosomal RNA
Source: RNAcentral
CACGCCGUAAACGAUGUCUACUUGGAGGUUGUGCCCUUGAGGCGUGGCUUCCGGAGCUAACGCGUUAAGUAGACCGCCUGGGGAGUACGGCCGCAAGGUUAAAACUCAAAUGAAUUGACGGGGGCCCGCACAAGCGGUGGAGCAUGUGGUUUAAUUCGAUGCAACGCGAAGAACCUUACCUGGUCUUGACAUCCACAGAAGAAUCCAGAGAUGGAUUUGUGCCUUCGGGAACUGUGAGACAGGUGCUGCAUGGCUGUCGUCAGCUCGUGUUGUGAAAUGUUGGGUUAAGUCCCGCAACGAGCGCAACCCUUAUCCUUUGUUGCCAGCGGUCCGGCCGGGAACUCAAAGGAGACUGCCAGUGAUAAACUGGAGGAAGGUGGGGAUGACGUCAAGUCAUCAUGGCCCUUACGACCAGGGCUACACACGUGCUACAAUGGCGCAUACAAAGAGAAGCGACCUCGCGAGAGCAAGCGGACCUCAUAAAGUGCGUCGUAGUCCGGAUUGGAGUCUGCAACUCGACUCCAUGAAGUCGGAAUCGCUAGUAAUCGUGGAUCAGAAUGCCACGGUGAAUACGUUCCCGGGCCUUGUACACACCGCCCGUCACACCAUGGGAGUGGGUUGCAAAAGAAGUAGGUAGCUUAACCUUCGGGAGGGCGCUUACCACUUUGUGAUUCAUGACUGGGGUGAAGUCGUAACAAGGUAACCGUAGGGGAACCUGC